AGGCAAUGUAAUAAAUAGAGCCUUGCUACUGCAGAAAAUCUAAAAGACAUUAUUUAUGAGGUAAAUAUCAAUUCUACAAUUACAAUUAUACAUUGUUAAAGGGCCAUUGGUUAGUGCAUUGAUAAAAUUGUGAGGAUUGCAGGUAUUUCAACCAAAAAAGAUGAAGGAUAAGUGUCUCCAGAACUCCCAUUCAAUAUCCUACUCCAGUAGAACAACAAAGACCAUUCCAACUAAAGAAACACAACCAAAUUGAUAGCAUACAGAUCCUAUAGCACAAAAUUGUAACCAAGCAAGAUGGUCUUCCCCAGAUCUGCAUACAGCUAUGCCAAAGCAGUUCAUACAAAUUACAAAAGGAAAAGCGACACCUGAGAUAGGCAAUUUAAUGAAUAGAGCCUUGCUACUUCAGAAAAGCUAAAAGACAAGAUUUAUGAGGUAGAUAUCAAUUCCACAAUUACAGUUAAACAUUGCUAAAGGGCCAUUGGCUAGUGCAAAGAGAGCAAUGAUAAAAUUCUGAGAAUUGCAGGCUGAGAACAAUAUUUCAACCAAAAAAGCUGAAGGAUAGGUGUCUCCAAAAUUCCCUUUCAAUAUCCCAUUCCAGUGGAACAAUAA
This 609-nucleotide unclassified non-coding RNA is filed under the name Hevea brasiliensis (rubber tree). The record is from RNAcentral. Lineage: Eukaryota; Viridiplantae; Streptophyta; Magnoliopsida; Malpighiales; Euphorbiaceae.